GACGAACGCUGGCGGCGUGCCUAAUACAUGCAAGUUGAGCGAUGAAGCUUGGUGCUUGCUCCAAUUUGAAGAGCAGCGAACGGGUGAGUAACGCGUGGGGAAUCUGCCUUUGAGCGGGGGACAACAUUUGGAAACGAAUGCUAAUACCGCAUAACAACUUUAAACAUAAGUUUUAAGUUUGAAAGAUGCAAUUGCAUCACUCAAAGAUGAUCCCGCGUUGUAUUAGCUAGUUUGUGAGGUAAAGGCUCACCAAGGCGAUGAUACAUAGCCGACCUGAGAGGGGGAUCGGCCACAGUGGGACUGAGACACGGCCCAAACUCCUACGGGAGGCAGCAGUAGGGAAUCUUCGGCAAUGGACGAAAGUCUGACCGAGCAACGCCGCGUGAGUGAAGAAGGUUUUCGGAUCGUAAAACUCUGUUAGUAGAGAAGAACGUUGGUGAGAGUGGAAAGCUCAUCAAGUGACGGUAACUACCCAGAAAGGGACGGCUAACUACGUG
Molecule: ribosomal RNA, 497 nt
Filed under: uncultured bacterium
Lineage: Bacteria
Description: partial 16S ribosomal RNA
Rfam family: Bacterial small subunit ribosomal RNA
Source: RNAcentral